This 346-nucleotide ribosomal RNA is filed under the name uncultured bacterium. RNAcentral describes it as "bacterial SSU rRNA". It matches the Rfam family "Bacterial small subunit ribosomal RNA", at positions 373 to 710 of the family's 1533-position model. The record is from RNAcentral.
GGGCGCAWKYCUGAUGCAGCNCMUGCCGCGUGUAUGAAGAAGGCCUUCGGGUUGUAAAGUACUUUCAGCGGGGAGGAAGGGAGUAAAGUUAAUACCUUUGCUCAUUGACGUUACCCGCAGAAGAAGCACCGGCUAACUCCGUGCCAGCAGCCGCGGUAAUACGGAGGGUGCAAGCGUUAAUCGGAAUUACUGGGCGUAAAGCGCACGCAGGCGGUUUKUUAAGUCAGAUGUGAAAUCCCCGGGCUCAACCUGGGAGCUGCAUCUGAUACUGGCAAGCUUGAGUCUCGUAGAGGGGGGUAGAAUUCCAGGUGUAGCGGUGAAAUGCGUAGAGAUCUGGAGGAAUACC